This 253-nucleotide ribosomal RNA is filed under the name uncultured bacterium. RNAcentral describes it as "partial 16S ribosomal RNA". It matches the Rfam family "Bacterial small subunit ribosomal RNA", at positions 524 to 776 of the family's 1533-position model. The record is from RNAcentral.
UACGUAGGUGGCAAGCGUUGUCCGGAAUUAUUGGGCGUAAAGCGCGCGCAGGUGGUUUCUUAAGUCUGAUGUGAAAGCCCACGGCUCAACCGUGGAGGGUCAUUGGAAACUGGGGAACUUGAGUGCAGAAGAGGAAAGUGGAAUUCCAAGUGUAGCGGUGAAAUGCGUAGAGAUUUGGAGGAACACCAGUGGCGAAGGCGACUUUCUGGUCUGUAACUGACACUGAGGCGCGACAGCGUGGGGAGCAAACAGG